UUUGUAAAGCCGCGUUACCCAUGAGCACGCAGAGAGCCUUUUCUGGAGAUUGACAGGAAGUUGAAGAGCCAGGGAAGAGAUGAGCAAUGACACUUUGAAGGUUCUUGGAUUGCUACUCAAUUUUUGCAGUGACUUUGAUAUCAAUUUAUCCUAAAUGCUUCUCUGAAUUCAGUCAUUCAGGUUGUGAGAAAGAAGAGGAAAAGAGCAUUACUGCUGCUUGUCAUGUGAGGAUUCACGUACAGAUAGUAAGGAAG
Molecule: long non-coding RNA, 254 nt
Organism: Cebus imitator (Panamanian white-faced capuchin)
Lineage: Eukaryota; Metazoa; Chordata; Mammalia; Primates; Cebidae
Exons: 3
Source: RefSeq, a predicted model, not a curated record